RNAcentral lists this ribosomal RNA (258 nucleotides) under uncultured bacterium. RNAcentral describes it as "partial small subunit ribosomal RNA". It matches the Rfam family "Bacterial small subunit ribosomal RNA", at positions 26 to 285 of the family's 1533-position model. The record is from RNAcentral.
AGGACGAACGCUGGCGGCGUGCUUAACACAUGCAAGUCGAGCGAGGCCCGUCCUUCGGGACGGUGCCCUAGCGGCGAACGGGUGAGUAACACGUUGGCAACCUGCCCCUAGCACUGGGAUAACUCCGGGAAACCGGGGCUAAUACCGGAUAUGACCUCCGAGGGCAUCCUUGGUGGUGUAAAGGAUUCUGGCUAGGGAUGGGCCCGCGGCCUAUCAGCUUGUUGGUGGGGUAACGGCCUACCAAGGCGACGACGGGUA